GAUAACUAUGCUUGCCAAAGCUUUGAGCGUGGCAUUGCUGCUCAGGAGACUGGUGUUUUUUCAUGGGAGAUAGUUCCCGUUGAAGUUUCUGGUGGAAAGGGAAAACCAACAACAGUCGUUGAUAAAGAUGAAGGCCCUACUAAGUAUGACCCUGCCAAAUUCAGAAAACUUAGACCAAGUUUCAAAGCAGAUGGAGGCACUUCUGGAAAUGCUUCUAGCAUUAGGUUUGUCACUUACUCGUGGAUG
Long non-coding RNA from Chenopodium quinoa (quinoa), 246 nucleotides. RefSeq lists it as uncharacterized. The record is from RefSeq and is a predicted model, not a curated record. The transcript has 3 exons. NCBI's taxonomy places the organism in Eukaryota, Viridiplantae, Streptophyta, Magnoliopsida, Caryophyllales, Amaranthaceae.